UACGUAGGGUGCAAGCGUUAAUCGGAAUUACUGGGCGUAAAGGGCGCGUAGGCGGCCUUCUAAGUCAGACGUGAAAUCCCUCGGCUCAACCGAGGAACUGCGUCUGAUACUGGAAGGCUUGAAUCCGGGAGAGGGAUGUGGAAUUCCAGGUGUAGCGGUGAAAUGCGUAGAUAUCUGGAGGAACACCGGUGGCGAAGGCGGCAUCCUGGACCGGUAUUGACGCUGAGGCGCGAAAGCUAGGGGAGCAAACGGG
RNAcentral lists this ribosomal RNA (253 nucleotides) under uncultured bacterium. Its description in RNAcentral is "partial 16S ribosomal RNA". It matches the Rfam family "Bacterial small subunit ribosomal RNA", at positions 524 to 776 of the family's 1533-position model. The record is from RNAcentral.